AGAGCGAACGCUGGCGGCAGGCCUAACACAUGCAAGUCGAGCGCUCCGCAAGGGGAGCGGCAGACGGGAGAGUAACACGUGGGAACGUACCCUUCAGUUCGGAACAACCCAGGGAAACUUGGGCUAAGUACCGAAUACGUCCGUAAGGAGAAAGAUUUAUCGCUGAAGGAUCGGCCCGCGUCUGAUUAGCUUGUUGGUGAGGUAACGGCUCACCAAGGCGACGAUCAGUAGCUGGUCUGAGAGGAUGAUCAGCCUCACUGGGACUGAGACACGGCCCAGACUCCUACGGGAGGCAGCAGUGGGGAAUAUUGGACAAUGGGCGCAAGCCUGAUCCAGCCAUGCCGCGUGGGUGAUGAAGGCCCUAGGGUUGUAAAGCCCUUUCGGCGGGGAAGGAUAAUGACGGUACCCGCAGAAGAAGCCCCGGCUAACUUCGUGCCAGCAGCCGC
RNAcentral lists this ribosomal RNA (446 nucleotides) under uncultured bacterium. RNAcentral describes it as "SSU rRNA". It matches the Rfam family "Bacterial small subunit ribosomal RNA", at positions 26 to 518 of the family's 1533-position model. The record is from RNAcentral.